GAUGAACGCUGACAGAAUGCUUAACACAUGCAAGUCUUUGGCGAAUCUGUGCUUGCACAGGCUAGCCAAGGCGGACGGGUGAGUAACGCGUAAAGAACUUGCCCUGCAGACAGGGAUAACAGACGGAAACGACUGAUAACACCUGAUACAGUUGCCGGCACGCAUGUGCCUGGCAAUGAAAAGAGAUGCUGCAGGAGAGCUUUGCGUCCUAUUAGCUUGUUGGUGAGGUGACGGCUCACCAAGGCGAUGAUAGGUAGCCGGCCUGAGAGGGUGAACGGCCACAAGGGGACUGAGAUACGGCCCUUACUCCUACGGGAGGCAGCAGUGGGGAAUAUUGGACGAUGGGGGCAACCCUGAUCCAGCAAUUCUGUGUGGACGAAGAAGGUUUUCGGAUUGUAAAGUGCUUUCAGCAGGGAAGAAGAAAGUGACGGUACCUGCAGAAGAAGCGACGGCUAAAUACGUG
Molecule: ribosomal RNA, 463 nt
Filed under: uncultured bacterium
Lineage: Bacteria
Description: partial 16S ribosomal RNA
Rfam family: Bacterial small subunit ribosomal RNA
Source: RNAcentral